GUACGGAAGUGGUUGCCCACGAACACCGCCUGUCGCUCCUGAAAAGCGUGGGGUCGGCGGUUCGAGCCCGCCCCUGACCA
RNAcentral lists this transfer RNA (80 nucleotides) under Frankiales bacterium. RNAcentral's name for it is "tRNA-OTHER". The record is from RNAcentral. Lineage: Bacteria; Bacillati; Actinomycetota; Actinomycetes; Frankiales.